AGUGAACGCUGGCGGUAGGCCUAACACAUGCAAGUCGAACGGCAGCACAGUAAGAGCUUGCUCUUACGGGUGGCGAGUGGCGGACGGGUGAGGAAUACAUCGGAAUCUACUUUUUCGUGGGGGAUAACGUAGGGAAACUUACGCUAAUACCGCAUACGACCUACGGGUGAAAGCAGGGGAUCUUCGGACCUUGCGCGAUUGAAUGAGCCGAUGUCGGAUUAGCUAGUUGGCGGGGUAAAGGCCCACCAAGGCGACGAUCCGUAGCUGGUCUGAGAGGAUGAUCAGCCACCCUGGAAAUGAGACACGGUCCAGACUCCUACGGGAGGCAGCAGUGGGGAAUAUUGGACAAUGGGCGCAAGCCUGAUCCAGCCAUACCACGUGGGUGAAGAAGGCCUUCGGGUUGUAAAGCCCUUUUGUUGGGAAAGAAAAGCAGCAGGUUAAUACCCCGCUGUUCUGACGGUACCCAAAGAAUAAGCACCGGCUAACUUCGUG
Molecule: ribosomal RNA, 492 nt
Filed under: uncultured bacterium
Lineage: Bacteria
Description: partial 16S ribosomal RNA
Rfam family: Bacterial small subunit ribosomal RNA
Source: RNAcentral